UUAAAUUGAAGAGUUUGAUCAUGGCUCAGAUUGAACGCUGGCGGCAGGCCUAACACAUGCAAGUCGAACGGUAACAGAAAUCAGCUUGCUGAUUUGCUGACGAGUGGCG
RNAcentral lists this ribosomal RNA (109 nucleotides) under Escherichia coli. Its description in RNAcentral is "partial 16S ribosomal RNA". It matches the Rfam family "Bacterial small subunit ribosomal RNA", at positions 1 to 100 of the family's 1533-position model. The record is from RNAcentral. Lineage: Bacteria; Pseudomonadati; Pseudomonadota; Gammaproteobacteria; Enterobacterales; Enterobacteriaceae.